CCGGCACGGGUGAGUAACGCGUAUGCGACCUGCCCGUUGCAGGGGGAUAAUCGGGAGAAAUCCCGUCUAAUACCGCGUAACGCCGCGGGGCUGCAUGGCCCUGCGGCCAAAGGGAGCGAUUCCGGCAACGGAUGGGCAUGCGUGACAUUAGCUAGUUGGCGGGGCAACGGCCCACCAAGGCGACGAUGUCUAGGGGUUCUGAGAGGAAGGUCCCCCACACUGGUACUGAGACACGGACCAGACUCCUACGGAAGGCAGCAG
RNAcentral lists this ribosomal RNA (261 nucleotides) under uncultured bacterium. Its description in RNAcentral is "partial 16S ribosomal RNA". It matches the Rfam family "Bacterial small subunit ribosomal RNA", at positions 97 to 354 of the family's 1533-position model. The record is from RNAcentral.